This 1912-nucleotide long non-coding RNA is filed under the name Homo sapiens (human). Its description in RNAcentral is "non-protein coding lnc-RAB1A-1:1". The record is from RNAcentral. Lineage: Eukaryota; Metazoa; Chordata; Mammalia; Primates; Hominidae.
UGGAGCUCCGACCUCAGCUUCGCCUGCGAGCUGGGUUGUGUAAAGGCUGGUCAUUUUGGGGCGCUUAGGGGUGGGUGCCGGGGGGCGCGCUUUCCCUCGUGAAGGUCGCUCCAGGAGUCAUGCGUACAUUCGUUCAUUUUGCUCUGGACGCACUGAUGUUCCCGGCUCGCCGCCGUGCCGCAGUCACGAGGCUCUCCGAACGCCUUUCACUGUGUUUCUGUUUACAUUCGCGUCUGCAAGACCCGGCGGCGCGACCGAGGCCCGAACAGAUGGAGAUGGGCUGCCAUGUUGUGAGCUGCCCCAUGGGGAAGAGGCUCACAUGUGAGGAACUGAGGGAGGCCUCCAGAAAACAGCCAGUGAAGAACUGAGACCCUCAGUCCAAUAGCCUAUGAGGAACUGAAUCCUGCUGACAACCAUAUGAAUGAGCUUGGAAGCAGAUCCUUCCCCAGUGAAGCCUUCAUGUGAGACUGCAGCCCACUUGACACUUUGAUUUGUAGCUUGUGACAGACCCCAAGCCAGAAGAGUCAGGUAAGCAGUGCCUGCACUCCUGACCCAUGGCAACUGGCAUGAUAAAUGUUUUUUCCCAUGAAGCUAUGUUUUAGAGUAAUUUGUUUUGCAGCAAUAGAUAACUAAUUCACUAGGUAAAGGUUAUAUCCAUUGUAAUCUUUCAACUUUUCUGUAGAUUUGCAGUUUUAUGUGCUGACAGGUGAACACACUGCUGUUGGCACCAUGGCCACUGCAUACUACGUGCUGUCAUGCUAACAUUUGAUGCUGCAGCAGUAAGUUAUUUCUCAAUUGAUUCUGAGUCUCUGGUUCACUAGCAGGAUCAUGUGCCCAAGCUCCAGCUUCCAAGGUGUGAGGCCAGAAAGUACCUGACCCUCUCAGCUUCCACAGUGGGAAUUGUGGCCCUGUCUCUCAAAUAGGGAGGUAUUCAGACACUGAGUAGAUGAAAAAAAAAAAAGAAAAGAAAAAAAAAGGUGGGGGGGGGCGGUUGGUAAGAAAAGAAAAAGGAAAAGAGGGGGGAGAAAGUGAAAAGAAGAGAAACAUCUGCUAUACUUUGUUCUACUCCUCUACUCCCAACUGCCCAGAAAGCUCCCCUGCUUAGGAGAGAAUCAGAUCAGCAGAGUUCCUGAUGACCUAGUUUACUUGCCUGGAGACUCAUUAGGGUAGCUCAACUACUGACUCUUCCUGUCUCCGUUUUUACCCUCCUGCCAAUAACAACCCCCUCUGUCUGUGUCUCUUUAAAGCCCCAAGAGAGAUGAUCUGAUGGUUUGGCUGGUCACUGUUUAAUAGAGGGUGUUCUUGUUGGUCUGGAUUUUCACUCUAGGCUACGUCAGAAGGUCUGGAUUGGCCAAUAGCUUGGAUGCCCUUGGGGCCAAGCUCCGUCCAAUCUGUUUAUUUGCCUGCGGGGUGGUAACAAACAGAGAAACUUCCACAAAGGAGCCCCUAAGACCCCUAAGUCAUGGACUUGUACAGGCAUUUUGAGGCUUUUAUAAGGGGGCAGUGUUAGAAACGCUUGUUCCCUGGUGCUGCAAAGAAGUAGCUCUCGAGUUGGAGAGAAGUAAAAGCUCGAACCGGCCUGGGAAGGACCUUACCUAGUGAUCCUAACUACUGAAACUGCAGUCUGGACAGCAGAAAAAGGAUUGACCCAUCACACCCGAGUCAGGAAAGUGCCACCCCCUCCAGAGUCAUGGGCCACGGUCCCAGGGGAAAACCCUACCAAACUAAAGCUAAGAAAAAUUUAACUCUCUUUCAUCCAUUUGAUUAUGACUUCUUUCCUCGCUCUAUUGCUGACCACCUAGUUAUUAAUGUAACCAAGUCAAUUUUGCCUCAAACUAUUACAUUUGAUGCUUGCCUUGUUAUACCCUAUGGAGACUUGCCAAGUCAGAGGCAACUCUCCACUUCAGGAAAG